This 253-nucleotide ribosomal RNA is filed under the name uncultured bacterium. Its description in RNAcentral is "partial 16S ribosomal RNA". It matches the Rfam family "Bacterial small subunit ribosomal RNA", at positions 524 to 776 of the family's 1533-position model. The record is from RNAcentral.
UACGUAGGGGGCGAGCGUUGUCCGGAUUUAUUGGGCGUAAAGAGCUCGUAGGCGGUUCGGCAAGUCGGGUGUGAAAGCCCUGGGCUCAACCCAGGAAGUGCACUCGAAACUUCCGAGCUCGAGUCCUGGAGAGGGUGGCGGAAUUCUCGGUGUAGAGGUGAAAUUCGUAGAUAUCGAGAGGAACACCGGUGGCGAAGGCGGCUACCUGGACAGUGACUGACGCUGAGACGCGAAAGCGUGGGGAGCAAACAGG